CUUGAACUCCUGACCUCAGGUGACCCGCCCACCUUGUACUCCCAAAGUGCUGGGAUUACAGGCGUGAGCCACCGCGCCUGGGCUGGAAUGAUGUCUUAAAAAGAUCUAUAAGCUCCAACACCCCGAAGUGGGACUCGUGGGAGAGAUUGAAUCAGUAACAGGAAGAAAGAGAGAAUAUCUUCUUUGUGCAUCUGAGCGUCCUGUGGGUAAAUUGCUCUUGUUAUGUCACUUCAUCAACAUAAAAAUGUUGCAUCAUCAUUGUCACCAAAAAGUCUUCAUCCAAGAGUGCCUCCAGCUCUGGGGUCACUCAGGAGCUAAGCCAGGUGUGUGCCCCUUUUGGUUCAGGAAGCUGCCCCUUUGCCCUCAGGCAGGAACCAGGAAGCACGGUCUUCCAAUCUGG
Molecule: long non-coding RNA, 400 nt
Filed under: Homo sapiens (human)
Lineage: Eukaryota; Metazoa; Chordata; Mammalia; Primates; Hominidae
Description: HSALNT0105593
Source: RNAcentral